UUAAGUUUAUGUUGAGUUUAUGUUGCUACAGCAACCGUUUUGCGCGGCAGAAAUCUGUAUAACGUUAGGCAAAUUUUGGACCACAGUAUUUUGUCACACAUGGACGCUGUCGAAAAGAGGAUAAACAGCAUUGCGGAUGAAGCCGAGGAUGCGCUGAUUUCACAAGAGAUUGAGGAAAUACAUCGGUACUCUCUGUCAAAUCAGCUGAGGACAGGUUUGUUUGGACGAGACGCGUGUAUUCAAACCGACGAGUCAGAGCUGCCAAAUAUAAAGAUUCUCGCUGCCAAUGCCGAAGAGCUUACGAAGGAGAUUUGUGUGUUAAAAGAACACACUGAAAAGAAGCUGAAAAUGAUACAGUUUCAGUAUGAGACCAAACUGCAAGAAGAAGCAGAUGCCCUAUAUGACAAUUUGACUGAAAAGAUCAAGAAUGUGGAAAACGGUCAUAAAGAGAAAAUAUCAGUUCUUCGGAGAAGCUAUCAGCAGCAGCUCUCUAAUGCUGUGCAGGUGAUCAGAGCCAGCUAUAAGAAUAAAGGUGAGGUGGAUCUGGAUUGUGAUGAUACUGAUGGAGCAGUAAAUAACCUUCUGAAUGAGCUUCAAGAGAAGAACCUGAAGAUUGAGUGCAUGAGUGAGCAGCUGAAGAAAUAUGAGAUCGCCUCUGAGGGAGCGGAGGACCCCGAAAAAAGCAGACUGAUGUCAGAGAAUGAAAAGCUGAAAGAUAACAUUGACUCGUUGCACGUCGAGCUGCAAGAAAUUCACCAAGUUCUGGAAUCCAAAGAGCAGAAGCUGGCUCUGGAUUUGGAACAGCUCAAACUAGAGGCAGAUGACAGCAAAAAGGCACUUCAAAAGAUGACAGGUCAACAUGAGCAAUUAAAAAUGGAGUUAAAAGUUGAAAAAGAAAGCUGCAUAGAAAAGAUAAAACAGCUAAAGGAGGAAAUGGAGAAAGAGAUAGUACACAUUGAAGCAGCACACAUGAAGGAGAAAGCUGCCACUGAAAAGAAGCUUGAGAAGCUGAAGAAGGCGGAACUUACAACCAUGGAGCUUGUUGGGGAUACAGAGCUGGCUCUUAAAAUAAGAGAAUUUAAAAAGGCUGAAUCAUUGCAGAAAAAGGAGAUUGAAAGGCUCAAUAAGCAGUUGUGCAUGUCCAAUCAGGUGUGGGAGAAGAAAUUUGAGAUUUUAACACAAAAUUUUCAUGCCAUCAAGGACGAGAUGUUUUUAAGGCAGAGACUGCAGCGUCAGGAAGCCAUUCUGCACAAUGCUUCAGUCAGCUUAAUGAUGGAUGCUCCAUGCUCGCCACUGAAGAGUCCUGCAGAUGGUGCUUUUAAAAGUCUGAGAUACAGCACGGUGGCUCCUCUGCCACGUAUAGGUGCUAGACACCAACACAAGAGGAACCACAGUACACAGAGGGAAAGAAGGGCAGAUGUUCUCCCUGGCUUAGCUGCAUUUGUGUUACAAAUCCCUCCCCGCUGAGAAAUGUUUAUAAUAGGGAGAAAUCAGUUGGACAGCAGUGAGGUUCAUGCCAGCGAACAACUGAAAGAAACCUGGCAACUAGGGGAAAAACCCUCUCAAGUCCAUCCUGUCGAACAAAAGGCGCUCGACGCAUUGAGCUAAGAUGCAACGAGUUCUGCGUCCCGGGCACAUGACGUGCAUCAUGGAAACAUAUUGUAUCGAAAUCGUUUGUGGGAGAAAACCGGGGAUGAAAAAGAAUGGGGCGCUUUGAUCCGCGCCCUGGGGUCCCGAGCUCCCCGAGUGCGCGCAGACUGACUGCAAGGCCUUAUUCACUUUCAGAUAGACACACUUACAAACGCUACUGAAUGAAAUUAGCAUAUUUGUAAUUUAUCACAUUUUAGCCCGACUUUUCUGUCUCUUUGCGGAAGGUGGAAGUCUGAAUAAAAAAGUGGAUCAAUUAUCAACGCGAAGCUGUUCCCUUCUCAUAGCAGAAUGCUGUAGUUUGGGAAUUACAAAAAACUAGCUGCUGUUAGGGUAAAAAAGAAAACUUGAAAAAAUGAAAAGGUUGAACCAACUGAAUUUAUAAUUGAUUUUUAUUUUUUUAGCUGAAAAUAUUUGCAUAAACAAAGGUUUAUCCUUAAGUGAUGUCAGAAAGCUGUGCUUUUCCCCAUCACCAAUAUUAUUUCUGAAAAUUCUGAAAAUACAACCAUCCUACUUCCAUGGUUAAGUCCAAUAUGCAAUAUGUAGCACUCUGUCGAGUCUUGUUGCAAGUUUGCUUAAGCUCAACCAGCCUACUGGAAAAUUAGGCCAAGUAAAUUACUAACAAAAUCGUAUUGCAUAAUUUGCACAUACGGAAUUGCAAUGAAGCUCAGACCUGUUGCAUGUCUUUGCGCAGAGAGGUGCAUUGCAUUCCCCAGGAGAUGGGUUUAAAAAAAGCAAAAAAAAAAAAAAAAAAAACAUUAAUAAAGCUAGGGGAUCUGGCCAUUGAAAUGAGGUGACAGGCAGGAUCUGGAUGUUUUAGCACUGACACAAAACCGCAUACGGUAACUACAUGCCUGCCUUGAAAUACGAGAGUUUGAAUAAAGGAGCAGUAAUAUUUCAUAUGGGGCACGCAAAAGCUGGAUACAAUGCCUCUCAUAUUAAGAACAAUAUUCAGUCCUUUCUGUGGUGAACAAAGAUCAUAGCAAGACGUCUUUGAGGCUAAUUCAGUCAAAGGCACAUUUUGGCUUCCCCCGCGGUAAGGUCAGUGUCGUUGUGUAUGGUCCACCAAGGGUGGUAUGGGGUUCCAUGGCCAAGCAAAGCCAGCUGUCCCUGGUGUAGGGCGACCAGUCUGAAUUGUUAUUAUAAACUGCCAGAGCUACUAUUGUGGCUAUUCGUGAACCUUGUGUUAUGAGUUUAAAGUUCAACUUAUUUUUUCUUCCCCAUUAUAUGAGAUAAUGCAAGUUUUGUAGUAUGGUCAGCUAUGGCUUCCAAAGUAACAACUGGACUUUUAAAUUAAGAUCUUCUUGAAGUUUGCUUUGACCGUGACUUGGAAGAACACAAACACCAUCCGCUGAACUGUUGUUUUCCGUCGAUCAAGCACCAUGCCAUCUUUCACAAAAAAUAAUAAUUAAAAUUAAUCAGUUAUCUUUAUGAUUUUAUGCUAUAUCAUUUUAAGUGACUUAAUGCUUAGGGUUGUGGUUUUAAACUUGUAGACAGACGUCUUUAACAAAACUAUGGACAUGCAGGUAAUCACAAGAAUUAAAACGUAAUUCACUUUUAAUACAUGAAUCAAGUCAAUUUUUACCGAAUCAUAAUUUAGUGACGUUUAGAGAUAACGUUCAUUAAAAAAAUGCUUUUAACAAAAAAACAUAUAUAAACAUAUCCAUGAAUAAAGUACGCCAGAUGUAUAGAUGUGUAAGAAAGUGCACCUCGGAGAUGAAAAUCUGAAGUCAAAUCUUGUGCACCAAAGAUUUUUCUUGAAUUUAAGCCUUGGGUUGAAGAGGGAGAGAGACCGUUUUCAAACUAGAAAACUCUAGCUGGUUCAAAUCUUUGCCGGUUCGCUCUUGUCAACCGGGCGUCCCGUGCGCAAAAACCAAGCUUGCCAUGGUGAUGUUUUAUUUUCCAAAGCACAAUGUCAUGGCACAAGCUUAUUUUUCCUGGAUGUAACUGGGGUCUUUUGUUAAGAAAGAGAACGAGGAGCUACCCAAUGGGCUCAUUCUAUCCUUUUAUGCUCAAUUGAACAAUAUUUUCUUUUUCUUUAAAAAAUCCUGCACGCGUGCGCGCUUUUGUACACUUGUUCCACCGGAUCCCGUUUGGCUGCUAAGAAGUUAAAUGCUUCGCAAUAGACACCGGUUGCUGAGUCGAGGGUUUCUCAGUACAAAGGCUGCUGCUUUCGCACCAUAUGCUUAAUGGACACAGCCGUAAAGGCCAUAAUAAAGGUAAAACGUGGUCUUUUAAAAGUUGGAAAGGUUCCCUUUAUUUGAUUUAGAUGGAACAGACUACGUGCGCACAAACCAAAGCGCGCCCCGGCAUUGACUCGCUCUUUCUUUUCUGAGGCACUGCAGCCACCACGUAGUGUGUUUCAUUACAACAUAAGCUUUUCAUCACCCGGCUUUGUUCUGAAUGAAAGUAAUGCUGUGAAUUAAAGAAAUGACAAUAUUUUCUAUCAGCUUGAAGGUCCAAGAGAAGGGCUCUCGAGCUUGGCAAAAAUCAGGCACAUCAUUCAUCAUGUCACCCCGCACCUGUGGUCCUGGCAUUCAAAGUAUACAAACCUAUUCUUAUUAACCUUAAUUAUUCAAAAACGACACAAUGGCUGAAAUAGAGCAGGUUGAAGUCUGUUUAUUGGUCGUAAAUGUCCCUCUGAAGAUCUCCAAGGCUCUUUGUUAGUCCCGCGCGGCGACCGCUCUUCUCCUUUCAGACAUGAGUAGCCUUGGACUUUUCAGUUUUCAAUCGUAACAUCUGCUUAAUCGUACGGAUCAAAAUAUGGAGACACCAAACAUUUGCAGUGAAGGAUUUGUUAAAUCCGGGUAAUGAGUUAUUAACAAGACGAAACAAUGGAGCGGGAUGGUGAGGGCCUUAUGUUAACGGAGUCACUUUACGAAGCGCCUCGCAUUACCCUUCUUUCUAAGCGGGACGCCAGGUGAUGGCGAGGACAUCAAUGUCCUUAGGAGGCAGCGCUUUUUUUCUGCACGUGAAAAAUUAGUGGACAUAAAUUUAAUGGCUCGAUCGAGCCACAGAAACGCGUCUAUUACCCGUGGACUUGCGUGGAGGACAAAACAAUACUGCUGGCUGCCUCGCGUUGGCUCCCUAAAUCCGGGUGGAUCAUUGAAAAUGUGUUUUAUUAUAACGCACGUCAUGCUUUACUGUUCCCAUAUUGUGUCGGGACAAAGGCUAAUGGUACAUUAAAGACAAGAAACCCAUGCCAACACGUCUUGGAGACGUUGUAGACGGAGACGGGCCUCCCUCUUUGCUUGUUUUAAGCAGCUGCUGUCCAGGACCCGGGCGCACAAAAAGAACAAGUUUGAAAUACCAGGUGCAUCGAGGAGAAACUCGUCAUGUUCAAGCUCAGAACACUGUCCUAGCAAUAAAGAUAUCAUGGCAAUUAUCUGCAGACUCAGCACCGUGUAAAACCAGGGGCGCCUGCUGCAGAACAGCCUGUACUUUGGCAACAAAGUCUCCCGACCCGGGGUGCUCGAUGAGCCCGCUUUCUCGAGCACCUGUUAGCCGAGGUGAUAUUUUUGGACGAAUAAUUAGUGAUAUAUUUGCUGCAUUGAAGAUCACGCUGUACCCCCAGAGGCGACUCGGACAUGGGGGAUUUAGUGGGAUUUAAAGAGUUUGGGUAUCAACUGGUGUUUGUUCAAGCUGGCAGCUGGCACCCCGAUGCCACUGUUGCCAUGCACUAAUGAAAAUGCGCCAGACUCAAAGAUUUUCAGUCUUAUCCUCCAUAUUUUUUUGCAGGCGAUAAUCCGAAUGUGAGCAGAUUUAAAGCUUAUGAGAAUCUUGAUAGGCGUCGUUCCCAGCUUAGUGCGCAUUGUAAGAUUGUUGACACUGAUAGUUAUAAACCGUGCGUAAUCGUUCACUUUCUUUAAUACAAUUAGGUGUAGACUACAUAUGAAACUCAAACAUUAAUGGGGCGACAGCGGAUUUUUUGUACAAUAUUUAUUCUACGAACACUCAGUCAAAUUAUAGAAAGUUUCAAUGUAAUUUUUAGGACUUUUAUAUAAUUGUAAGUAUAUAUUUAUUAAAAAUCCAAGACGUACCGAACUUGCAACUUGUAGGCUAUUGUAAUUCCAGUCGGCGAACAAUAUUAAUAACUACCCGCGGCCAUCCACAGACGCGGACUUUGUAAAAGAGCCUGUGGGACGGUGAAACGCACAGUAAACGGGUUAAACCCUGACAAGCAACAAAUGGUCGCCUUUUAAGCUUUGCCAAGCCAAAUCCCAAAGUGACAAAAUAGAAUCCUGAAAAGAUCCAGCGCAUCAGCCUUUUUCUUCCGCUCCAUCGGCGCUCUUCCAAAAGAUGCUUUUAAGGGUUUUGUACUGUGCCUGUUUUGAAACACCCUCUUUCACUAAGAUGCGGUGCCAAAAUACAAUGAUAGCAGCAUUUUUUGUUUCCCCCUAAUCAAAUUGAAAUGUUACCACGGGCAAAUAGUUGAAAUCGCCAGAAGACGUUUGGGGUCUUUUAUCUUAGUUAAGUCUGACUUGCUAACAUUUGACUUUCUAAUGAGCAUAAUGGGAUUACAUGCUUUUAGUCCUGCGCCCUGGAUAGCAGAAAUCAGCGCGUUUAAUGAGGCGCUAAUACUCGGAAAGGUUGGAUUAUGUCCAUCAGUUAAAAAUUUCAUUUAAUUAAUUAAAUAUUGAUGACACUAAUUAAAUAUUUGUCCUUAUAUAACUAAAUAGGUAAUUGACCAGUACGCAUUAGUUAAGUACUACAUCAAAUAUAUAAUAUUUACAUUAACAAACUGUGCACCAAUAAUAUGACUGUAGAACAAGCAAGAUGAAACAUUAUAUUAUAAACAACAUGAUUAAAGUAUCAAAU
Non-coding RNA from Danio rerio (zebrafish), 6465 nucleotides. The record is from RefSeq and is a predicted model, not a curated record. Lineage: Eukaryota; Metazoa; Chordata; Actinopteri; Cypriniformes; Danionidae.